UUGACAGUUUGGCUUCCCUGUUCUGGGUGGCAAAGCCUGUGGAGUACUCACCUACCUGCUGCAUGAAGGCAGCAUGGAGGGACUGUGGUGGAUUAUCUGCAAAGAUGGCCAAAAUUCUCUCAUCCCUGCAGGCACAUACAAGGAAAUUGAGGUAUACGGAAUGCUUAUUUGGUUUACUCAGUAUCAUCCUAAAUGUAUGUACCAAUGCUUAGGAGUUUGCAGUUCACCCGCAAACCUCAGCGAUCCAAGCUCCCCUGGAUGACCAUCACUCACCAAGAAAAGAACAAUAACAGGACCUGUUUUGCUAAUCCAGGACUGUUCUCCAGCACUAACUCUAAAUAAUCCCUUCUGCUAGAGUCCACUUUCUGGAACCUGUUGGAGAGGACAUCUUACUCUUAUUGGAUCAUGCACAGUGCCUGAAGCAUUCUGUUGCAUGUAGAAAUCAGUAAAUUGCAGAUGUAAGAUUCAAAACCAGACUUCACAUCUACCGACUUCAGUGACCCUGAAAUUUGUUCACAGAGAGCAUUUAACAUAACUGUCUUCAUCAUCUCCUUCUCUACAUUAAAAAUUAUGGUUCACACAGACGUUAUUGGUGAUUCACUCUUGAGUCAUGAAAAGUCAACCUUGAGCCACAGAAAGUCAACCUUGAGCCAUGCAGAGUGGAGAGUCAUACAUGCCAUUCCUGGGACCAUCAAAAAUGGCAGAGGUCACACAAAAGGCAAAACUUUUAAGAGGUGUUUUAAACGUCGUAUGG
Molecule: long non-coding RNA, 754 nt
Filed under: Pan troglodytes (chimpanzee)
Lineage: Eukaryota; Metazoa; Chordata; Mammalia; Primates; Hominidae
Description: lincRNA
Source: RNAcentral